GUGCAGUCCAUGAAAAUGGUUCGCGGUGCAUGACGUGGCUCACAGGCAGGUGGAAAGAAUUUUGAGCGAUCUGAUGAUGGAGAUCGCUCCAGAUACGUGAUCGGAUGGUUGAGGUUUCGUUGUUUCAUAUCAAGCGAUGGUGGCCUACUCCCAAUGCAUGAUCUGAUGGCUCCAAUUCAUCCAAAAUGAGAUCUGAUAGUUGCUAUCGAUUGCCGAUUGAGAACUAAUCAGAAGAAGAGAUUUCAAGCGUGAUCCAAUGAUCGAAAACCCAUCCGAUGGCUGAUCCAAUGGCUGUUGUUCAUUCCGACUGUGUUAAGGAGAUAAUAGGCACUGAUCGAUGGUCGAAAAUUCAUAAGAUGCACGACCAGACGGCUGUGGUGGUUCUCGAACAUAAUAAGGACUUAAAUGCUAGUUUUUUUGGGCUGAUCUGGGCGGUCCAAUCAAAAUCCGAUGGCCAAAAAAAUUCCUACGAGUAUUAUACAAGUUCUAAGGGUUUUAGGACUCUUUUUGUGAGCAGAAAAAGAUGAAAAAUUUACCUAUAAAUAGGAGAUCUGGGAAUAAGAGUGGAAAAAAGAAAAAACUAGAGAAAAAGCAAGAAAAAAUUAGAGAAAAAAAAUUAGAAAAACUUCAAGGAUCAAAGAGUGGAAGAAUAUGGAGCUAGAGAUCUUGAUGCAUG
This 676-nucleotide long non-coding RNA is filed under the name Elaeis guineensis (African oil palm). Its description in RNAcentral is "long non-coding RNA (EGUI_LNC000703)". The record is from RNAcentral. Lineage: Eukaryota; Viridiplantae; Streptophyta; Magnoliopsida; Arecales; Arecaceae.